CGAUGAUGAAAGCGCAGAAUUGAAAGAAACGCCCCAAGUCGAGAUUAGUUUGUUUGACAAGGGGCAAGGCUGAGCCAAUAGCGAGGAGGCCGACUGGAAAUUGAUAGAUUAGUGAAAGGCUUUUUAAUACAGUUUGUUAUUAUAGUUCUUCGGGCGAUUGCUCGUUCAAUUAGGAACGAUUGUCCCAACUUUGCAAAAUAUUUGCACUCAGGACUAAUAACAUGUUUUGACCCGGAGUUCUGCCCAAAGGUCAUGGCGUACUUCUUGCCAUUCUUAGUCUUUUGUGACAUCAUAACAUUUGGUGUGGCGUCUUUAAUGAUCACAUAAAAAAGACAGUUUAUUUUCUGUGAUACAUAGGGCUUUUUUUCUUCUUUUUUUUUUCAAUUGCAAAUUGAAAUCAAUAGUAAUGAUUAAAUGCACCCGACAGAGAUGUAGUUCAGUGGUGUGGAAAUGUAUCGAUUGCUUCAAAUUGACCGGUUUCAACAUCGCGUUGCCUACACGCGGCCUCCGCGAAUAGGAUAUAUCAAGGGCCACGGACACAAUGACAGCUGAAGUCUUUAGGUUCUCACCAAGACUGCACAAUUAAGGACAUCAUGUUGGGUGAAUUAAUAAAUAGAGUUGGAAUGUUGACGUUUGUUGAAGAAGCCAUCCACACUAUUAUAAAUUUCUGUGAUGAUAGAACAAAUGUUUAAUAGUAGUCUUUUUAACAAUUAAACUUAAAUAUUAAACACAUUUGUAUUUUGAACGUCACAGUGUUCAUG
Gigantopelta aegis is the source of this 761-nucleotide long non-coding RNA. RefSeq lists it as uncharacterized. The transcript has 3 exons. The record is from RefSeq and is a predicted model, not a curated record. NCBI's taxonomy places the organism in Eukaryota, Metazoa, Mollusca, Gastropoda, Neomphalida, Peltospiridae.